UUACUCAUCCUCAUGUCAUUCCAAACUUGUAUUUCUGUAGAACACAAAAGAAGAUUACACUAUUCAAAGGCUUUUGUUGGUGUUCUGCAGAAGAAAUUAGUACAACUUGAAUUUGAUUAAAUGACAGAGUUUUCAUACCUUUUAAAUGAAUAAAUAAGGCCAAUCAUUUUAUCAUAAAUGCUUAUUCCAAAGCAUGUCUCCCCCUCUGUCUUACUGAUGAGACAGAGCGGUACACAGCCUGUCACAUGGCUGGGAGAACAUCCAUCACGUGGAAAGCACUGCCUGUCUCUAAGCUGGGUUAGAGCUGCUCUCUCUGGUUUCAAUCGGUGUGAUAAGGGUGGCCCUCCAUGUGCAACUCAAAGCCUGCCUCAUCCUCCCCCGCAGGGAAGCAUUCAGCCAAAACGUGAGCAUCACUCACUGAGAGGUCACAUGCUGCCAGGUUGUACCAGGAGAAACUGCGCUGGCUUUUUACAGGGCCUGGAAUCCCAUGGACAAACCAGUGAUAGGCAUUUCUACCUACAAUGUUGUACCUUUUGAGGCUGGACAAUAUUUUAAUAAGAUACAGUGUUUCUGUUUUGAGGAACAGAGGUUAAACCCACAUGAGGAAGUAGACAUGCCUGUUUUCUUCUACAUUGAUCCAUAGUUUGAUGAUGACCCCAGGAUGGCACAAGUUGAUACUAAUACACUCUCGUAUACCUUUUUUGAAGCCAAAGAAGGACAGCGGUUACCCAUCCCUGGGUAUAGCUAAUUAUGCAUUAUUUCGAGAAUUUUAUGAAUUAUAUUCAAGAGAGUUUGUUCAGUAAUCAUUUUGGUAAUGAUUACUGUAUGUUGUCACGUUUUACUUUGUCUGUUUAGCUUAAAUCAAACAAUUAUAGCAAAAACUGAACAGUAAUGAAGGCUGAUCAAGACAAUAAAUAAGUUAAAAAAAAUUAUACAUAUACCAUAAGACUUUUUUUAUAUAUAUAUCAAACAUCUGAGCUGUAUGACAAAUUUGUGAAUUUUGUCAACAUUUGUGAGGCUAGUGGCUUACUUUAGAACACUAGAGGGCAGCAUUUACGCAUGUGUCUUAAUGUCUUUUGACGUAAAACAUGAUCUUAAAACUUAGCAAUUACAUUGAAAACAGUAACACGUGUUGUACGACUUGCUGAUUAUUGUGGAAUAACUAAUUUAUUUGGAUUUCAUACAACUGUAGCAUAUACAUGCUUUAUAUAAUGCAUGCGCAAAUGCUCUUAGUGGCGCUUCAGUGAGCAAUAUUGUGCAACAACACUACUCAAACAGUUUUG
RNA transcript from Cyprinus carpio (common carp), 1283 nucleotides. RefSeq lists it as uncharacterized. The transcript has 3 exons. NCBI's taxonomy places the organism in Eukaryota, Metazoa, Chordata, Actinopteri, Cypriniformes, Cyprinidae. The record is from RefSeq and is a predicted model, not a curated record.